UACGUAGGGGGCAAGCGUUGUCCGGAAUCAUUGGGCGUAAAGCGCGUGUAGGCGGCCCGGUAAGUCCGCUGUGAAAGUCCAGGGCUCAACCCUGGGAUGCCGGUGGAUACUGUCGGGCUCGAGUCCGGAAGAGGCGAGUGGAAUUCCUGGUGUAGCGGUGAAAUGCGCAGAUAUCAGGAGGAACACCAAUGGCGAAGGCAGCUCGCUGGGACGUGACUGACGCUGAGACGCGAAAGCGUGGGGAGCAAACAGG
RNAcentral lists this ribosomal RNA (253 nucleotides) under uncultured bacterium. RNAcentral describes it as "partial 16S ribosomal RNA". It matches the Rfam family "Bacterial small subunit ribosomal RNA", at positions 524 to 776 of the family's 1533-position model. The record is from RNAcentral.